UAGCAGGCCCAUCAAACCACUCAAGUCUCCAGGAAAUGGUAGUUUGCAGUUGGCAAGAGCUGGAUGAACCAGUGAUGAGGAUGCCAAGACCAUCUAUUUAAUGGUACAGAUGAU
Non-coding RNA from Electrophorus electricus (electric eel), 114 nucleotides. Lineage: Eukaryota; Metazoa; Chordata; Actinopteri; Gymnotiformes; Gymnotidae. The record is from RefSeq and is a predicted model, not a curated record.